RNAcentral lists this ribosomal RNA (1382 nucleotides) under uncultured bacterium. RNAcentral describes it as "bacterial SSU rRNA". It matches the Rfam family "Bacterial small subunit ribosomal RNA", at positions 18 to 1395 of the family's 1533-position model. The record is from RNAcentral.
CCUGGCUCACGUUGAAGGCUAGCUACAGGCUUAACACAUGCAAGUCGAGGGGCAGCAUGGUCUUAGCUUGCUAAGGCCGAUGGCGACCGGCGCACGGGUGAGUAACACGUAUCCAACCUGCCGUCUACUCUUGGACAGCCUUCUGAAAGGAAGAUUAAUACAAGAUGGCAUCAUGAGUCCGCAUGUUCACAUGAUUAAAGGUAUUCCGGUAGACGAUGGGGAUGCGUUCCAUUAGAUAGUAGGCGGGGUAACGGCCCACCUAGUCUUCGAUGGAUAGGGGUUCUGAGAGGAAGGUCCCCCACAUUGGAACUGAGACACGGUCCAAACUCCUACGGGAGGCAGCAGUGAGGAAUAUUGGUCAAUGGGCGAGAGCCUGAACCAGCCAAGUAGCGUGAAGGAUGACUGCCCUAUGGGUUGUAAACUUCUUUUAUAAAGGAAUAAAGUCGGGUAUGGAUACCCGUUUGCAUGUACUUUAUGAAUAAGGAUCGGCUAACUCCGUGCCAGCAGCCGCGGUAAUACGGAGGAUCCGAGCGUUAUCCGGAUUUAUUGGGUUUAAAGGGAGCGUAGAUGGAUGUUUAAGUCAGUUGUGAAAGUUUGCGGCUCAACCGUAAAAUUGCAGUUGAUACUGGAUAUCUUGAGUGCAGUUGAGGCAGGCGGAAUUCGUGGUGUAGCGGUGAAAUGCUUAGAUAUCACGAAGAACUCCGAUUGCGAAGGCAGCCUGCUAAGCUGCAACUGACAUUGAGGCUCGAAAGUGUGGGUAUCAAACAGGAUUAGAUACCCUGGUAGUCCACACGGUAAACGAUGAAUACUCGCUGUUUGCGAUAUACAGCAAGCGGCCAAGCGAAAGCGUUAAGUAUUCCACCUGGGGAGUACGCCGGCAACGGUGAAACUCAAAGGAAUUGACGGGGGCCCGCACAAGCGGAGGAACAUGUGGUUUAAUUCGAUGAUACGCGAGGAACCUUACCCGGGCUUAAAUUGCAGAUGAAUUACGGUGAAAGCCGUAAGCCGCAAGGCAUCUGUGAAGGUGCUGCAUGGUUGUCGUCAGCUCGUGCCGUGAGGUGUCGGCUUAAGUGCCAUAACGAGCGCAACCCUUGUUGUCAGUUACUAACAGGUUCCGCUGAGGACUCUGACAAGACUGCCAUCGUAAGAUGUGAGGAAGGUGGGGAUGACGUCAAAUCAGCACGGCCCUUACGUCCGGGGCUACACACGUGUUACAAUGGGGGGUACAGAGGGCCGCUACCACGCGAGUGGAUGCCAAUCCCCAAAACCUCUCUCAGUUCGGACUGGAGUCUGCAACCCGACUCCACGAAGCUGGAUUCGCUAGUAAUCGCGCAUCAGCCACGGCGCGGUGAAUACGUUCCCGGGCCUUGUACACACCGCCC